UGUGUCCAAUAUCACACGCAGUGAGAGCCUCCAGAAGCGUCUCCAAAGAGAAUUCUAGAAUUGUACCUUCUGGCAUGUGAAAGGCCAGGGUCACGUGAUCCCACAGAUAAAACACGUUAAGCACAUCUUCUACGCUAACUUGUUUCUCAUCUCUGUUUUUUAGGCAGUCUUUAGCGGUGUGUUUGAGAGAUGGCUUGAGCACGCCAGAUGAUCUCUCCACCCCUGUAAGCGCACACACCCUCAUCAUUAUCCCCCAACUCUGGGUAACCUUCAUAAUCAUGAACAUCAGGGCUAUGAAUCAGCACAACGUACAUGACCUCCUGCUUGUAGAUUACAGUCUCAUAAACUCGAAGGACAGGAUCUUCUUCUCCACAGAACUGGCUUCUCUACGCAUUCAUCAGCCAGUGAGAAAGUGAACCGGAAGUUUCGAUAGCGAGAGCGUUCCUUAAACACAGGAGAGGUGGUGAAUUCACACAGGAAACCCUCCUCUCGCCUUCUCUCUUCUGGACUCAAAGCAGGGAAGAGUUUCUCCAGGUACCUCUGCUCUGCAGUAGUGAUCUCGUCUUCACCAAUCAGUGUCCCCCACCACAAGAGUCUCCUAUCCCCUCCACGAAAUCCUGUGAGGUCCAGAAUCCCUGUCAUACCAUCUGUAGUUGUGACGUGAGAUACUAUUGAACAAUGGAACUCUACAGGUCGAGGAUAAUGUGGAACUACGCACAUACGUGGUUCUUCAUUUGGUUGAGCCACUGUUUUAAGACUCAUGGGCAAUUUCCUCCUCUUCAUAACAUCUAUAACCACAUGUUCCCUACAUACAUAAUGUUCCUCGAAUCCCCUCGCAUUCUUUCGGUCUCGGAUUGGGUUCUGUUGAGACAAGGAUUAAAAAUUUGUUGCGGUUUGUUUUGAAUUUUAAUUUUUUCCUUCAUUUUUCUUAUUCAGUUAAUUUUAAGGAUGAAUUAAACCCUUUCACUGCGUAAUGAAUUAAAAUUUCAUACCUCGUUUUCAGGUUGAGCGGCCAUCCUUUAGCUUCUACUGGUGCGA
Molecule: long non-coding RNA, 1038 nt
Organism: Clupea harengus (Atlantic herring)
Lineage: Eukaryota; Metazoa; Chordata; Actinopteri; Clupeiformes; Clupeidae
Source: Ensembl